Molecule: ribosomal RNA, 255 nt
Filed under: Salmonella enterica subsp. enterica serovar Montevideo
Lineage: Bacteria; Pseudomonadati; Pseudomonadota; Gammaproteobacteria; Enterobacterales; Enterobacteriaceae
Description: partial 23S ribosomal RNA
Rfam family: Bacterial large subunit ribosomal RNA
Source: RNAcentral
GGUUUCUGAACGCAACACGAAGCGUAGCAUCAUGCCGCCAUCGAACUGACUUUCCGUCAGCAACAGGUAUUUCAGUUCGCCACGUUUUCGCGCCACGUUAUAAGGCGUGAGUCCGGCACGGGCAAUAUCGAAAUUCCUUGUCGGGUAAGUUCCGACCUGCACGAAUGGCGUAAUGAUGGCCAGGCUGUCUCCACCCGAGACUCAGUGAAAUUGAACUCGCUGUGAAGAUGCAGUGUACCCGCGGCAAGACGGAAA